Molecule: ribosomal RNA, 460 nt
Filed under: uncultured bacterium
Lineage: Bacteria
Description: partial 16S ribosomal RNA
Rfam family: Bacterial small subunit ribosomal RNA
Source: RNAcentral
CCUACGGGCGGCAGCAGUGAGGAAUAUUGGUCAAUGGACGAGAGUCUGAACCAGCCAAGUAGCGUGAAGGAUGACUGUCCUAUGGGUUGUAAACUUCUUUUAUAUGGGAAUAAAAUGUGCCACGUGUGGGAUUUUGUAUGUACCAGAUGAAUAAGGAUCGGCUAACUCCGUGCCAGCAGCCGCGGUAAUACGGAGGAUCCGAGCGUUAUCCGGAUUUAUUGGGUUUAAAGGGUGCGUAGGUGGAUUGUUAAGUCAGUUGUGAAAGUUUGCGGCUCAACCGUAAAAUGGCAGUUGAAACUGGCAGUCUUGAGUACAGUAGAGGUAGGCGGAAUUCGUGGUGUAGCGGUGAAAUGCUUAGAUAUCACGAAGAACCCCGAUUGCGAAGGCAGUUCACUGGACUGACACUGACACUGAGGCACGAAAGUGUGGGUAUCAAACAGGAUUAGAUACCCGGGUAGUC